GCAGUCGUAGCUCAACUGGAUAGAGCAGCGGUCUACGGAACCGCAGGUUGCAGGUUCGAGCCCUGCCGACUGCG
Molecule: transfer RNA, 74 nt
Filed under: Phycisphaerae bacterium
Lineage: Bacteria; Pseudomonadati; Planctomycetota; Phycisphaerae
Description: tRNA-Arg
Rfam family: tRNA
About the family: Transfer RNA (tRNA) molecules are approximately 80 nucleotides in length. Their secondary structure includes four short double-helical elements and three loops (D, anti-codon, and T loops). Further hydrogen bonds mediate the characteristic L-shaped molecular structure. tRNAs have two regions of fundamental functional importance: the anti-codon, which is responsible for specific mRNA codon recognition, and the 3' end, to which the tRNAs corresponding amino acid is attached (by aminoacyl-tRNA synthetases). tRNAs cope with the degeneracy of the genetic code in two manners: having more than one tRNA (with a specific anti-codon) for a particular amino acid; and 'wobble' base-pairing, i.e. permitting non-standard base-pairing at the 3rd anti-codon position.
Source: RNAcentral